This 301-nucleotide ribosomal RNA is filed under the name uncultured bacterium. RNAcentral describes it as "partial 16S ribosomal RNA". It matches the Rfam family "Bacterial small subunit ribosomal RNA", at positions 509 to 807 of the family's 1533-position model. The record is from RNAcentral.
CAGUCGCCGCGGUAAUACGUAGGGCGCAAGCGUUGUCCGGAAUUAUUGGGCGUAAAGAGCUCGUAGGCGGUCUGUCGCGUCUGGUGUGAAAUCCCGAGGCUCAACCUCGGGCUUGCAUCGGGUACGGGCAGACUAGAGUGCGGUAGGGGAGACUGGAAUUCCUGGUGUAGCGGUGGAAUGCGCAGAUAUCAGGAGGAACACCGAUGGCGAAGGCAGGUCUCUGGGCCGCAACUGACGCUGAGGAGCGAAAGCAUGGGGAGCGAACAGGAUUAGAUACCCCCGUAGUCCCUGUCUCUUAUAC